AAUGGUGGAUGCCCCUCCCCCAGCCAGGCUUGCCGCCUCACAGUUCGAUCUCAGACUAGCAGUGAGCAAGGCUCUGUGGGCAUGGGACCUGCUGAGCCAGGUGCAGGAUAUAAUCUCCUGGUGUGCCAUUUGCCAAGACUUUUGGAAAAGCACAGUGUUUAGGUGGCAGUGUUCUGAUUUUCCUGGUACAGUCUGUCAUGGCUUCCCUUGGCUAGGAAAGGGAAAUCCCCCGACCCCUUGCGCUUCCCGGGUGAGGCGAUGCCCCGCCCUUCUUCGGCUCACCCUCCGUGGGCUGCACCCACUUUCCAACUAGUCCCAAUGAGGUGAACCAGGUACCUCAGUUGGAAAUGCAAAAAUCACCCAUCUUCUGCGUUGAUCGUGCUGGGAGCUGCAGACCGGAGCUGUUCCUAUUUGGCCAUCUUGGAAUGGACCUCUAAUUUUUGUAUUUUUAGUAGAGACAGGGUUUCACCAUGUUUCCCAGGCUGGUCUCAAACUCAUGACCUCAAAUGAUCUGCCGCCUCAGCCUCCCAAUCCUAUUCAACCAUCUUGGAACAGACCUCUAAUUUUUGUAUUUUUAGUAGAGACAGGGUUUCACCAUGUUGCCCAGGCUGGUCUCGAACUCUUGACCUCAAGUGAUCCACUGCCUCAGCCUCUCAAAGUGCUGGUAUUACUGGUGUAAGCUACUGCACCCAGCCACAGCAAUGCUUUCUAAAAUUCAUUUUCCUCUCCUCAUAUCCCUGCAACCUAUUCUAAAGUCACUCUUCAACCUUCAACUGUAUGGCUUUCCUUAUGCCUCCCUGGUUCUCUCUCCUUCUCAAUUCCUCUUUAUUGAAUAGAUCAACUUAAACUCUCUUGCUUCACCUUGGUCUGUUUAUUUCUUCUCUUUUCCUAUUCUCAAAAGCUCCAUAUUCAAGCUGGCAGACAGAGCUCUCCUUUGAGUGCAGGGAAGUAACUCUCAUAAAAUAAAUCUUGUCCUCAAAACAUAUUCAAAAUCACAGAACAAUAAGUUGAAUUUCAUAAUCAUAGAAUUGCAGAAGAAUCAUUUUGUAUAUUGCUGUGGAAAAAUUGUAGACUUCUUUUUGAGCAGGAAUCCCAAACUCAAAUGCCCACAGGAAGAAGACAAGGAAGAGGGUCUAGAGGAGAUAUACUAUGAGGACAUGGAGUCCUUCACAAUCUCCAGUGGAAACACUUAUUUUGUCUUUGUACCCCUGGAAGAAGAGCAUUGUAGGAAGUCCCAUUCCACCUUCUCAGCCAUGUUCAUCAACGACACUUCCAGUGCCAAGUUCAUAGAACAAGUGACAAUUCCAUCGAGACUAAUUUUAGAAAUUAAGAAACACCGGGCAUGGUGGUGUGUGCCUGUAAUUCCAGCUACUCAAGAGGCUGAAGCAGGAGAAUCGCCUGAACCCAGGAGGCGGAGGUUACAGUGAACCAAGAGAGUGCUGCUGCACUCCUGACUGGGAGACAGAGUGAAACUCCGUCUCAAAAAAAAAUUAAAUUAUAUAUUCUAUAUAAGGCUUUGUCAGAUAAAUAAAUGGCAAAUGUUCAUCCCCUCUCUGCACUUGCCUUUUUAAACUCUCUU
This 1579-nucleotide long non-coding RNA is filed under the name Homo sapiens (human). RNAcentral describes it as "HSALNT0353949". Lineage: Eukaryota; Metazoa; Chordata; Mammalia; Primates; Hominidae. The record is from RNAcentral.